RNAcentral lists this ribosomal RNA (429 nucleotides) under Verrucomicrobiota bacterium. Its description in RNAcentral is "Verrucomicrobia bacterium partial 16S ribosomal RNA". It matches the Rfam family "Bacterial small subunit ribosomal RNA", at positions 355 to 776 of the family's 1533-position model. The record is from RNAcentral. Lineage: Bacteria; Pseudomonadati; Verrucomicrobiota.
UAGGGAAUCUUCCGCAAUGGACGAAAGUCUGACGGAGCAACGCCGCGUGAGUGAAGAAGGAUUUCGGUUCGUAAAACUCUGUUGUUAGGGAAGAAAAAAUGUAUAGUAACUAUAUACAAAAGAGACGGUACCUAACCAGAAAGCCACGGCUAACUACGUGCCAGCAGCCGCGGUAAUACGUAGGUGGCAAGCGUUGUCCGGAAUUAUUGGGCGUAAAGCGCGCGCAGGUGGUUUAGAACGUCUGAUGUGAAAGCCCACGGCUCAACCGUGGAGGGUCAUUGGAAACUAAUAAACUUGAGUGCAGGAGAGAAAAGUGGAAUUCCUAGUGUAGCGGUGAAAUGCGUAGAGAUUAGGAGGAACACCGGUGGCGAAGGCGACUUUCUGGACGAAAACCGACGCUGAGGCGCGAAAGCAUGGGGGGCAAACAGG